This is a long non-coding RNA of Oncorhynchus mykiss (rainbow trout), 1218 nucleotides long. The record is from Ensembl. Lineage: Eukaryota; Metazoa; Chordata; Actinopteri; Salmoniformes; Salmonidae.
GAGUACAGGGGGUUGGGGGGAAAAGAAGGGUGUGGUGUGGGUCCAAAUUGUGGGUAGAGCCUAUUCUAAAUUUAGCUGCUCACACCAAUUCUUAAAAAUGAGGUCUGCUGUGGUUGUUGUUCAGUGUAUCAGGUCUGUUGUGUGGAAUUCAUCAUGUGGUAUCUCCAAGAGAAAUGGGCCAUGUGUGGUGAUGUAACCGUUAAUGACUUUGAGGUUCCGUUUUCGAUCUGGUGAAAGGAGGUGUGAGUGGUUAAUAAUGGGGAUGUAAAUAAUUGCAUUAGGGAAAAAGUGACUCUUGCUUCCUUGUGCAUUGAUGCAUUCUGUUUGAUGUUUUGUAUGGGUCAUUAUCCAUAUUGUUUAUGCCCACCGAGAGAACCACUAUGCAUGCUGGUGUCUAAAUGAACCUCUGUUUUCUCCAGGACCUUUUUGAAAUGGUAAAAUGUUGCUCCAGGGUAACUCUCCACUUGUAUGGGUUAUGGGUUAUGAAAUGGAGGGAUUCUAUUAACAUUUGAGUCUCCCAAGACUAGUAUUGGUUUAUUUCCCUUAAAAUUCCAAUCUGCCACCUUGCCAUUUGGUGUAAUACUUAAAGGCCCGUAGAUGUCCUCCUAGGAUCAUAAAUUAAACUGAGGUAAGCUCCAAGUUGCCUCUUUUUCUGGGUGGCAGUGCAGAAGUCGAUGUGGUGAGAGAUUCAUUCAACCAUAGUGUUGUUAAAUAUGAACAUAAACGCCAUAUUGUGCAUUUAAAUGGUUUCAUUGUUUUGUUAAAGGAAAGGAAAAACCUAAAAGAGGAAGUGCCAAACUAAAACCAAACAAACCAUAAAUAUAUAGAGUAGAAAUAAAUUAUGAAUAAAACCAUGUUCUUCUCCAUCCAUUUUCCUGUCUGUUAAAACCCAUUUUCUAAUACAGGCCAUUUGGUGUUAUUGUCUGUAGGUUCUGGAUCCACUCCCGUGCUGCCCACAGGUCCAGAGGCCCACAGGUCCAGCCUAUAUGUGACUGUAACCCUGAUAUGGUUCUGGAUCCACUCCCGUGCUGCCCACAGGUCCAGAGGCCCACAGGUCCAGCCUAUAUGUGACUGUAACCCUGAUAUGGUUCUGGAUCCACUCCCGUGCUGCCCACAGGUCCAGAGGCCCACAGGUCCAGCCUAUAUGUGACUGUAACCCUGAUAUGGUAAGGUGAGUGAUGGGGUGCUCCUGGAAGUGGGUUAUGAGUAAAUUGUAGG